GAGAAAGAUGCAAGAACUGCUAAUUCAUGCACCCGUGCAUAAAAACAUGGCUUUCUUA
Molecule: transfer RNA, 58 nt
Filed under: Nycticebus coucang (slow loris)
Lineage: Eukaryota; Metazoa; Chordata; Mammalia; Primates; Lorisidae
Also listed under: 1 other name
Description: tRNA-Ser(AGY)
Source: RNAcentral